AUAUGGUUUUUAAAAUACACAAUAAAACCGCUAAUUGAAGUGCGCCACCAAUGAACCAUAAUUCGAAAUGCAGUUACAAGUGUUUAAAUAUUAAACUAACCUCUCGAAGAGCUUUCUCUGACCACCUUCUUUCUCGUCCAAUCUCCACAGCACCACCAACACGCAGCACAACCACUACAGUCUAUAACCUUUCAACUCUCA
RNAcentral lists this long non-coding RNA (201 nucleotides) under Vigna radiata. RNAcentral describes it as "long non-coding RNA (VRAD_LNC010725)". Lineage: Eukaryota; Viridiplantae; Streptophyta; Magnoliopsida; Fabales; Fabaceae. The record is from RNAcentral.